Pieris napi is the source of this 1709-nucleotide long non-coding RNA. RefSeq lists it as uncharacterized. The record is from RefSeq and is a predicted model, not a curated record. NCBI's taxonomy places the organism in Eukaryota, Metazoa, Arthropoda, Insecta, Lepidoptera, Pieridae. The transcript is spliced from 3 exons.
UUAAACUAGAGUUAAUAUUUUUAAGUUAAGAGUUUUAGUUUUUCUAUGAAUCAAUGCGAGGAUAACAUAAUAGACACAGAUAAAUAUGAAAAUAUCAAGAAAAUCAGCAAAUUAGUAGAGGCAAAUCCUAGUUAUAUUGGAUAUCUUUUAUUGAUAUUUAUAUUGCAUAUGAGAAAGCAGUCACUAAUGAACAUAAUUAGAAGUUCUAAAUAUAUUUUAUUGUAAUUAUAAUAGAAGCUAAUGAUAUAAUAUUGAUUUAAAUUAAUGAAAUAAAAUGGAUUUAUACUUUAUGAACUUUGGAAAUAUAAAAUCUAGUGAGCAAUACUAAGUAAUGAAAAAGAGAAGCUAAUAAGACAACUGAAAAAAUAUUAAAAAAACCCACAAAUGGACAAGAUUUAUUAAAGUCUUAUCUUUUAAUUAAUUUAAGUGUUAUAUUACGUACCUGAAAAUGAAUUUGAUAAAGGGGAAUGAAGCAUUUAAUGAAUAAUGUAAAAAAUAAGACAAGUGGAGUAUGAAAUAAUGGUUGGUUAAGUAACAUUGCCUCAUGAACAGAAAACAGUAACUGAAACUAUGUUCCUCCACAUUUAAUCUUAAUAAGUUCAGCAGUUUGGAUGUUAAUGAGAUAUAAUUAUAAACAAACUGCAUUUGUAGAUUUUGGGAAGAAUUAUAUCUUUACAAUAACUAUUAUUAUUUACAAUUGUUGUGUUAAGGAAACAAUCUCUAAUUUUUAAUCACCCAGGAUGUAUUCAUAGUAACUGUAGGUAUCAUAGUAAUUUUAUGAAAUCCUCACAACAUCUAACGUUAGGUUUUAUGAAUUGAAAAUUUUUUGGUAUAUAACAGCACAUAAACAAGAUAUUGACAUUGCUGUAAAUAAACACUUACAUUUAUUAGUUAAUUAUCUACAUAUAUAAAUAUGAAUACAUCUACAUUAGGUAGUAAUGCAUUGAAUUUGGUGCACCUGUGUGUGUUCAGUAGUAAUGUCUGUAUUGUUUAAUAAGUUGUUACAUAUGCUUAUUUUUCUAUGUAGACUGAAUUAUGUUAAGGAAGAUAUUUGGUGCCUUAUUUUAGUAAAAAAUAACCAUAACUGAAACAUUUUUAUUUUGCUACCUAUUUGUUUUAUAUUCCUAACUGUUAGUAGGUACGGGUCAUUCAUAUAUGCAUUAACUGUAUAUUCUUGUAAAAUAAACUAAUAUUGUUAAUCACUUUAAUGGCUUUUCCUACUAAAGAAGACAUAGGUAAAUUACCAAAAAUAAAACUGACAAAUACAUAACAUACAAUGUUUAUUCAUUUCUUACUUAAACAGAUUUUGCAUUUACAUUAACUAGUAGCAAAUCACUGAUAUAACCAAAAGUAAACAGACAUAAAUAUUAACUUAAAAUCAGCAUCAAACUUAAUUUCAAAUUUAUAAUUUCAUACCAGACUAAGUUUCUAUUUUAUAAUUUUUAUUAAUCCCUCUUUUCAUUUCAUUGAUUACUUGCUGCUUUUCAAUUCUCACUUUCUAAAAGUAUAAAUUUAUUAUAAACAAUCAACCUUUAUGACUCUAACAUAAACUGAAAUUGUUUGUUGGACAUAAACAGAGAUAAUUCCAACUAGUAGCAAAUCACUAAUAAAAUCUACACUUAUAUAUAAAUCUGCUUACAAAUUGACAUUAAAAAUGUUCAAGCACAAACACCAAACCUAAUUAAAGCUUAAAUCAAACUCUAAUUUCA